GGGGAUUUGCCAUGGAGGAACUCUGAUGCAGCGACGCCGCGUGAAGGAAGAAGGUUUUCGGAUCGUAAACUUCUAUCAGCAGGGAAGAAAAUGACGGUACCUGACUAAGAAGCCCCGGCUAACUACGUGCCAGCAGCCGCGGUAAUACGUAGGGGGCAAGCGUUAUCCGGAAUUACUGGGUGUAAAGGGAGCGUAGGCGGUAGAGUAAGUUAGAUGUGAAAGCCCAAGGCUCAACCUUGGGACUGCAUUUAAAACUGCUUUACUAGAGUACAGGAGAGGAAAGUGGAAUUCCUAGUGUAGCGGUGAAAUGCGUAGAUAUUAGGAGGAACACCAGUGGCGAAGGCGACUUUCUGGACUGUAACUGACGCUGAGGCUCGAAAGCGUGGGGAGCGAACAGGAUUAGAUACCCUGGUAGUCCACGCCGUAAACGAUGAGUGCUAGGUGUCGGGACGUCAAGUCUCGGUGCCGCAGCUAACGCAAUAAGCACUCCACCUGGGGAGUACGAUCGCAAGAUUGAAACUCAAAGGAAUUGACGGGGGCCCGCACAAGCGGUGGAGCAUGUGGUUUAAUUCGAAGCAACGCGAAGAACCUUACCAGGUCUUGACAUCCCCUUGACCGGUCUAUAACUAGAUCUUCUCUUCGGAGCAAGGGAGACAGGUGGUGCAUGGUUGUCGUCAGCUCGUGCCGUGAGAUGUUGGGUUAAGUCCCGCAACGAGCGCAACCCUUAUCUUUAGUAGCCAGCAUUUCGGAUGGGGACUCUAGAGAGACUGCCGGGGAUAACUCGGANGAAGGNGGGGAUGACGUCNAAUCAUCAUGCCCCUUAUGAUCUGGGCUACACACGUGCUACAAUGGUGGUAACAAAGGGAUGCGAAGCCGCGAGGUGGAGCCAACCCCAGAAAAGCCAUCCCAGUUCGGAUUGUAGUCUGCAACUCGACUACAUGAAGUUGGAAUCGCUAGUAAUCGCGAAUCAGAAGUCGCGGGAAUACUUCCCGGC
This 994-nucleotide ribosomal RNA is filed under the name uncultured Bacillota bacterium. RNAcentral's name for it is "bacterial SSU rRNA". It matches the Rfam family "Bacterial small subunit ribosomal RNA", at positions 357 to 1378 of the family's 1533-position model. The record is from RNAcentral. Lineage: Bacteria; Bacillati; Bacillota.